GGUUAUGGUAAUGGUUAUGGUAAUGGUUAGGGUCAGGUGCAAUACGUUCUGUCCAAGGUGGCUUUGUUCGCCUCGACACAACGGCUGCCCUUAGGGUCAGGGUGAGGGUCAGGGUUAUGGUAAUGGUUAGGGUCAGGUGCAAUACGUUCUGUCCAAGGUGGCUUUGUUCGCCUCGACACAACGGCUGCCCUUAGGGUCAGGGUGAGGGUCAGGGUGAGGGUUAUGGUAAUGGUUAGGGUCAGGUGCAAUACGUUCUGUCCAAGGUGGCUUUGUUCGCCUCGACACAACGGCUGCCCUUAACACGUCACACAGGUUUUGUUUUGUUGCAUCUUGCCAAAAACAACCCACAUUUCCACCAUCAACUCUCACCACACAACGAGACUCAUCGGUUUCAUUUUCUGACAGGAAAGAAGUUCAAAAAAGACAAGUGUUGGCACACAACUUGAGAACCGAGGAGGAGUGACGGAACGCCUGUCGUAAAGCUGAAGGCGUUUCCUCUUUAUCAUCUGUCGUAAAGCUGAAGGCCUUUCCUCUUCAUCUGUCGUAAAGCUGAAGGCCUUUCCUCUUCAUCUGUCGUAAAGCUGAAGGCCUUUCCUCUUCAUCAUCUGAUUUUCCCUUCAGUGUUUUACUUUUAUACGUACAGAUACGUACAGAUUAGUGUUCACUGCAGACUUCAUCUUAGCGGACUGAAAUCCACUGAAUGGAACGUAUUUUGACUCUGAAGUGUGCCAUGGGUUUUUGUAUUCCACUUAUUUCCUCCUCUCCCUUCUGAAAGGCUGGACGCAGUCAGCCCUAGAGGACUGUUGUGUAUCUCUGCCAGCCGUUUAGGUAGUUAACCCACUGUAGGGGUGUAGAGGGAGGGAGAGAUGGACGAAGGAGGAGGAGGUGUUAGAGCCCCUAUCGAUUGUGUGACCUGGGUUUUCUUUUUUUUUUUUUUCUUUUUUUUGGUACUCACCUGAGCAUUAUACUGCCUCCUUCCUCCUCCUCUUUUCUCUCCUUACCUCUUUUUUUGGUACUCACCUGAGCAUUAUACUGCCUCCUUCCUCCUCCUCUUUCUCUCCUUACCUCUCCAAAAUGUUAGUGGAGAAAUAAAAACGAGCUUGACUUUUUGUUUCGAAAAGAGAGAGAAUGUGAAAAGCAAAAAAUGAAGUGUGUUUUCAGUAAGAGGGCGAUGAUGAUGAUGAUGAUUAUAUUUGUUGGUGUAGAAAAUAGGACAAAAUGAGAAAGUUGACCCCAAACCCUUUCCACAACCAUUCACAUCCCAUCUAGCUACCCCUCCAGGAAUAGGGUGACUGAACCUGUUUUACCCCAUUUGGUACAACCAAUGUCUUCUAUGGUACAGUUAUAUGGCACAGAACCUACUGUUAUGUUAUGGAAAAGGAAACGUUACCAUAACUACCAAGGCUGGAACUAUAGAACUAGAAUGAUAAUCAUUCUAAUUCUAUGGUUGGAACACAUUUUAAAGGCUGUACUGUGAUUUGUCUGCAAAAUUUUAAACUUUUAUUUGUUUAUAAAAAAACAUUGGAAUUUGAAAGGUUAUGAUGAUAUGCGCUGAAACAAACUUUGUUGCUUUCAUAUUCCGGGUACGUUUAGUUUGACCAAUGUUUAAUUUGUUUUGGUUUUGCUGCAUUGCUUUUUGGCUUUGAGCUAUUAGAUUUGACCAAUACAAAGGCUUUGUUUGGCCAAAUACUUUCUGUGAUUGAGAAGUCUUACCUAAUCAAUUAUCUAAUCAAUUCAAUCAAUCAGAGGGAUGAGUAUCGAUUAUCAGGCCUAUCGGCAUUGCUCAGUUUUUCUUACGAUUUAGUUUUAGUGAAUGAAGAUUCUGCUUUGUACUGUGCUGAUCUGAGAUUGGCCACUACGGUCACGUCCCAAAACACCAUUCUAGACAUGUACUGGACUUGCAUUCUCAGUAGUGUGCGACAAGCUACUAGUGUGCAUACUAAGUUGGGCCAUAGCGUUCUGAGUAAACGAUAACAAACCCUUGAGAAAAGAAUGGGAAACUCUGGAUAAUAAUACCUACGUAAUAUAUUACAGAGGAAGUGGAACUGCGUAAACAGUUGUAUUUUCUUUGUUUCAUCUAGUUUACAGAACAGAGCAGAAGUUAAAUCUCUGUAGUGUUGAUACUUUUGGCUGAGACUCCUAAAGACAGACGAGGGUUUCAAAUCAUUUUUAAACUAAACAGACAGAAACUUUUUUUCCAAAAGUUCGACUUGAAAUUUUGCAGUUUUGUAAAAAAAAAAAAUUAAAAAUAUUUUUUUAAAGUGAAAAGAAGUUGAACUCGCUGCCUAAUGUUUUGUAACUAUUACUAUUUUAUUUGCUGCUGUGUAGUACGAAAUAACAACUGGUUGAUUGAUGGCAACCGCCACAGUGAUGAGGAAGGUGUCAUUUUCAUUGCUACCUGUGUUUUCUUUCAGAAUUGAAUGGCUUUGUAAUUUAGCUUUACGGAACGUUCUCUUCAUACUGUGGAGUUGUUGAUCCUCAGAUGUGCAUUAUAUUUUCUCAGCAACGUACGUCUUUAGGGGGAAAACAAUUAAAAUCAGAAUGAUUUUUCAAAAUAACUGUUCUUGGUGGAUUCCACCCAACCCCCCUUUAAAUAGCAUAGUUGUUUUUCUGCAUGUUAAUGGCUCCUCAAGGCACCUUUUUCCUUGUCUUUAUUUCUCAUUUACUUCCUGGGGGGUGGGGGGGCUCUAUUGAAGGAAUGUUGAGCGUUGCAUAGUGUUUAUAUUUAUCACUGUUGUUGCUUU
Long non-coding RNA from Oncorhynchus tshawytscha (Chinook salmon), 2744 nucleotides. The record is from Ensembl. NCBI's taxonomy places the organism in Eukaryota, Metazoa, Chordata, Actinopteri, Salmoniformes, Salmonidae.